This 1438-nucleotide long non-coding RNA is filed under the name Heterocephalus glaber (naked mole-rat). RNAcentral describes it as "lncRNA (ENSHGLG00100049026.1)". The record is from RNAcentral. Lineage: Eukaryota; Metazoa; Chordata; Mammalia; Rodentia; Bathyergidae.
AGAAUUUAGCCAACAUGACAGUUGAAGGGAAUCCACAGCACAGACUUAAAUAAAAUAUGUGCUCAUUAAGCAAAUAUCCAUGGAGAGCUGGCUGUUAGCCCGCACUGAGCAAAGUACAAGGUGACUUCCCCGGUGGUGCAUGGAAGAUAGACAAGAGACCAGCCAGACUGCGGCAGGCACUCAGCCUUGUCCGUACAGAACGAGGUAGAGGACAAACCCUGCCGUCUUUGUCGAAGCUCUCUGCUGCCCCCUGGCGGACACAGCAUUGCGCGCCUUCGCGUUGCUAUUCCAGCCACCCAGGGAGCCCGCGGGUCGCUCCAGUGCUCGCUGCAGAGCCCUUUCACAAAUGUCCAUCAUUCGGUCCUCAUUUCCGCCACGUCGGCUUCACCUCGGUGGCCCUGAAGCGACAGCCCUGAGGCAAGAACGCCGGGUCCUGCCCUGUUCUCCCACUGCAAGAGGAGACCCGAGGCUCAGCCUACCCGUCCCAGUGCCCGGCCUUUUCUCUCUCUGGAAAGCCACCUAAGGAAUUGCAGCCCACUUCUGAAAACCCUCCAGCAUCUGCUGCACACUCUGGGUGAGGAGCAAGCCUGCCACCUUCCCAGCUCGCCUUGGAGAGCUCCACACCUAUGGAUUUAUUGUUGCUGUUGUUUCUGGUUUCUUUGCAAUAGGGUCUUGUUAAAGUUGCCCAAGCUGGCCUUGAAUGCACAAUCCUCCUGCCUCAGCCUCCCAGUCAGAGUGCUGGGAUUGCAGAUGUGCACUCCCACACCCGGCCUGGAGUUUUAAAUUUAUUUUUGCAUUGCCAGUGCAUUUCUCUGUCCAUUUUCCUGCUCUAAGACUUUUGCAGUAACUGUUCUGUGUGUGAAACCCUCCUCCCCUGUGGCAGUCUGGGUGACUCCCAUUCCAGGUCUGAUUCCCUCCCCUGCCUCUGUUUCCCCUGUUACUAUGGGGAUCAUCCCACCUCACCCCCCUCUCCUCCUCACUUUUCUGCCCCUCUGAUCAGACCUCAAGCCAGGGCCCGGAGGCCCACUGUGCCCCUGUCCUGUCCCCAGCGCCAGGUGCAGAGUGUGAAUUUGGUGACUGAAUAAGUGAGCACGUGGAUUAGUGAUGGGGACAAAGCCUGGGUGGGCGUCAGGCCUGUCCAGCCCCAACUGGGCCACAAGCUAGGUGACCUUGAAGGAGAGCCAUUCCCUCCCUGGGGCCCUGUGGUUUUCCCAUGGCGCUGGGUGCCUCUGAGGGGUCCUGCGUGGGACAGCCUUCCCCCCACCUUGAAAUGGCUCUGGGCACUGGCCACUUCCGGUGGACUCUUGGACCCCAGGGUCUUCCCUCCCAGACAGCCAGGAAGGGACAAGGGGACUCAGCUGGCUGGGUAUCCUCAGGCCAGGGUUAAUUUUUACACACCAGCUCAAAGUCCAGAUGGCCCAGUAGCCUCUCCCUCGCU